Molecule: unclassified non-coding RNA, 204 nt
Filed under: Hevea brasiliensis (rubber tree)
Lineage: Eukaryota; Viridiplantae; Streptophyta; Magnoliopsida; Malpighiales; Euphorbiaceae
Source: RNAcentral
GGAAGAACCAAAAGUUCCUAUCAUUGUUUACUCAAAUCAUGAAAAACCCCCACAAAAACAAAUCCUCACAACACUCACUUUCUUUACUGAUAACUCAAGAUUCUUGCUUUUUUUCAAGUUGCUAUUAAAGAAGGAAAAAGAGAGAGGAAAAUGAAUGAGGAAUUGGGAUUUUUUGGGAUUAAAUUAAAGAGAGAAAGAGGUGGG